Long non-coding RNA from Homo sapiens (human), 500 nucleotides. Lineage: Eukaryota; Metazoa; Chordata; Mammalia; Primates; Hominidae. The record is from Ensembl.
CCUUCACUGUCUACUUUCCACCUGCAUAGACAUUCUGCUUACCUGGCUAACACAAAGUUCAUCCAGCCUCCUGUGGCCCAGCCUUUCACCAAUGCCAAUAGUGGGAAGCAACAAUUAAGAAGAAGUGAUUCUGAGAAGAUAAAUGCAGUCAUCUUCUUGCCUUACUGUUAUGUGGUCACAUCCCAUAGGAAACCAGACACCUGUGCCUGAAGCUGAUCCACACAACACCCCCCACCUCCUCAAACCCCCACCCCCAUCUGUGUGAACGUGUGUGGGCCGGGGGAAAAAGAAGAACAAGGAAGGUCUGUGACUAUAUGUUUGGACCACAUGGCUGUGAUCCCUACCACCACUUAGUGACAGCAUACAUGAAUUGCAUGCUUAAUGCCGAUACCAUUCAGCCUAGAGGGGCUCCUGGACCAGGCCAGAUUUCCUACAAGGUGUUACCAAGUGGAGUUGGAAACUUGUCACCUCCUCACACCCUAACUUAUUUUUUAAAAAUA